RNAcentral lists this ribosomal RNA (254 nucleotides) under uncultured bacterium. RNAcentral's name for it is "partial 16S ribosomal RNA". It matches the Rfam family "Bacterial small subunit ribosomal RNA", at positions 524 to 776 of the family's 1533-position model. The record is from RNAcentral.
GACGAACCGUGCGAACGUUAUUCGGAAUCAUUGGGCUUAAAGGGCGCGUAGACGGGCGACCGCGUCGAGUGCUGAAAUCCCCCGGCUCAACCGGGGAACGGGCCUCGAUACGGGUCGCCUCGAGUGGAGGAGGGGGACCCGGAACGUCCGGUGGAGCGGUGAAAUGCGUUGAGAUCGGACGGAACGCCGACGGCGAAAGCAGGGUCCUGGACUCCCACUGACGUUGAGGCGCGAAAGCCAGGGGAGCGAACGGG